AUCACGGUGACCGAGUGGUUAAGGUAUGGGUAUAUGACACCCAACGGGGUUCACCCCUACGCGGGUUCGAAUCCCGCCCGUGAGC
This is a non-coding RNA of Caenorhabditis remanei, 85 nucleotides long. The record is from Rfam. Lineage: Eukaryota; Metazoa; Nematoda; Chromadorea; Rhabditida; Rhabditidae.